AUCGCUUCUCUGCCUUUUGGCUAAGAUCAAGUGUAGCAUCUGUUCUUAUCAGUACAUAAUUUCCCACUGGUGAUUAAUAAAGUCUGUCUAAGCAUAAGAAAUGCAUUGAGUUGUGGACAUGUGAUUGGCUCAUGGACUGCAACAAAAUAAUCAGUUAUUCACUUCACCUGUCAGUGGUUUUAAUGUU
Amphiprion ocellaris (clown anemonefish) is the source of this 187-nucleotide small nuclear RNA. RefSeq annotates it as U2 spliceosomal RNA. The transcript has a single exon. Lineage: Eukaryota; Metazoa; Chordata; Actinopteri; Pomacentridae. The record is from RefSeq and is a predicted model, not a curated record.